GCAGCUACCAUGCAGUCGAGCGGCAGCGGGUCCUUCGGGAUGCCGGCGAGCGGCGGACGGGUGAGUAAUGCCUAGGAAUCUGCCUGGUAGUGGGGGAUAACGUUCGGAAACGGACGCUAAUACCGCAUACGUCCUACGGGAGAAAGUGGGGGAUCUUCGGACCUCACGCUAUCAGAUGAGCCUAGGUCGGAUUAGCUAGUUGGUGGGGUAAAGGCUCACCAAGGCGACGAUCCGUAACUGGUCUGAGAGGAUGAUCAGUCACACUGGAACUGAGACACGGUCCAGACUCCUACGGGAGGCAGCAGUGGGGAAUAUUGGACAAUGGGCGAAAGCCUGAUCCAGCCAUGCCGCGUGUGUGAAGAAGGUCUUCGGAUUGUAAAGCACUUUAAGUUGGGAGGAAGGGCAGUCAGUUAAUACCUGGUUGUUUUGACGUUACCAACAGAAUAAGCACCGGCUAACUUCGUGCCAGCAGCCGCGGUAAUACGAAGGGUGCAAGCGUUAAUCGGAAUUACUGGGCGUAAAGCGCGCGUAGGUGGUUCAGCAAGUUGGAGGUGAAAUCCCCGGGCUCAACCUGGGAACUGCCUCCAAAACUACUGAGCUAGAGUACGGUAGAGGGUAGUGGAAUUUCCUGUGUAGCGGUGAAAUGCGUAGAUAUAGGAAGGAACACCAGUGGCGAAGGCGACUACCUGGACUGAUACUGACACUGAGGUGCGAAAGCGUGGGGAGCAAACAGGAUUAGAUACCCUGGUAGUCCACGCCGUAAACGAUGUCGACUAGCCGUUGGGAUCCUUGAGAUCUUAGUGGCGCAGCUAACGCGAUAAGUCGACCGCCUGGGGAGUACGGCCGCAAGGUUAAAACUCAAAUGAAUUGACGGGGGCCCGCACAAGCGGUGGGAGCAUGUGGUUUUAAUUCGAAGCAACGCGAAGAACUCUUACCUGGUCGUGACAUGC
This 950-nucleotide ribosomal RNA is filed under the name Metapseudomonas resinovorans. Its description in RNAcentral is "bacterial SSU rRNA". It matches the Rfam family "Bacterial small subunit ribosomal RNA", at positions 46 to 989 of the family's 1533-position model. The record is from RNAcentral. Lineage: Bacteria; Pseudomonadati; Pseudomonadota; Gammaproteobacteria; Pseudomonadales; Pseudomonadaceae.